UACGUAGGGCGCAAGCGUUGUCCGGAAUUAUUGGGCGUAAAGAGCUCGUAGGCGGCUUGUCACGUCGGGUGUGAAAGCCCGGGGCUUAACCCCGGGUCUGCAUUCGAUACGGGCUAGCUAGAGUGUUGUAGGGGAGAUCGGAAUUCCUGGUGUAGCGGUGAAAUGCGCAGAUAUCAGGAGGAACACCGGUGGCGAAGGCGGAUCUCUGGGCCAUUACUGACGCUGAGGAGCGAAAGCGUGGGGAGCGAACAGG
Molecule: ribosomal RNA, 253 nt
Filed under: uncultured bacterium
Lineage: Bacteria
Description: partial 16S ribosomal RNA
Rfam family: Bacterial small subunit ribosomal RNA
Source: RNAcentral